GCGAAAGGGUCAGUAACGCGAUCGAACGUACCCCGAGGUGGAGGAUAGCGCUGGGAAACUGGCGGUAAGACUCCAUGUGCUCGCAAGAGGAAAGGUUUACCGCCUUGGGAGCGGCGAUCGUCCUAUCAGGUAGUUGGCGGGGUAAAAGCCCACCAAGCCUAAGACGGGUAGCGGGUGUGAGAGCACGGCCCGCGACAUCGGAACUGAGACACUGUCCGGACUCCUACGGGAGGCUGCAGUAACGAAUCUUCCGCAAUGGGCGCAAGCCUGACGGAGCAAUGCCGCGUGUGGGAUGAAGCAUCUCUGGUGUGUAAACCACUGUCAGGGGACGGAACCAAUGAUUGUCCCCAGAGGAAGUGGCGACUAACUCUGUGCCAGCAGUCGCGGUAAUACAGAGGCCACAAGCAUUAGUCGGAAUCACUGGGCUUAAAGGGUCCGCAGGCGGUCCUCCAAGCGCUUUGUGAAAUCCCAUGGCUCAACCAUGGAACAGCAGGGCGAACUGGAGGACUUGAAGAAGGUAAGGGCCGCCGGAACAGUAGAUGGAGCGGUGAAAUGCGUAGAUAUCUACUGGAACGCCGAUGGUGAAGACGGGCGGCUGGGCCUUUCUUGACGCUCAGGGACGAAAGCGUGGGGAUCAAACAGGAUUAGAUACCCUGGUAGUCCACGCCGUAAACGAUGAGUGCUAGGUGUCGCGGGUUUUGACCCCUGCGGUGCCGUAGCUAACGCAUUAAGCACUCCGCCUGGGGGAGUACGGCCGCAAGGCUAAAAACUCAAAGGAAUUGACGGGGGCCCGCACAAGCGGUGGGAGCAUGUGGGUUUCAAUUCGACGCAACGCGCAGAACCCUUACCCUGGGGCUAGAAAAAUGCAA
This 869-nucleotide ribosomal RNA is filed under the name uncultured Candidatus Kuenenia sp. Its description in RNAcentral is "bacterial SSU rRNA". It matches the Rfam family "Bacterial small subunit ribosomal RNA", at positions 98 to 993 of the family's 1533-position model. Lineage: Bacteria; Pseudomonadati; Planctomycetota; Candidatus Brocadiia; Candidatus Brocadiales; Candidatus Brocadiaceae. The record is from RNAcentral.